RNAcentral lists this ribosomal RNA (505 nucleotides) under uncultured bacterium. RNAcentral's name for it is "partial 16S ribosomal RNA". It matches the Rfam family "Bacterial small subunit ribosomal RNA", at positions 28 to 507 of the family's 1533-position model. The record is from RNAcentral.
GACGAACGCUGGCGGCGUGCCUAAUACAUGCAAGUAGAACGCACAGUUUAUACCGUAGCUUGCUACACCAUAGACUGUGAGUUGCGAACGGGUGAGUAACGCGUAGGUAACCUGCCUGGUAGCGGGGGAUAACUAUUGGAAACGAUAGCUAAUACCGCAUAAUAUUAAUUAUUGCAUGAUAAUUAAUUGAAAGCUGCAAUUGCACCACUACCAGAUGGACCUGCGUUGUAUUAGCUAGUAGGUGAGGUAACGGCUCACCUAGGCGACGAUACAUAGCCGACCUGAGAGGGUGAUCGGCCACACUGGGACGGAGACACGGCCCAGACUCCUACGGGAGGCAGCAGUAGGGAAUCUUCGGCAAUGGACGAAAGUCUGACCGAGCAACGCCGCGUGAGUGAAGAAGGUUUUCGGAUCGUAAAGCUCUGUUGUAAGAGAAGAACGGGUGUGAGAGUGGAAAGUUCACACUGUGACGGUAUCUUACCAGAAAGGGACGGCUAACUACGUG